Molecule: transfer RNA, 355 nt
Filed under: uncultured Microcystis sp.
Lineage: Bacteria; Bacillati; Cyanobacteriota; Cyanophyceae; Chroococcales; Microcystaceae
Description: partial 16S-23S ribosomal RNA intergenic spacer
Rfam family: tRNA (bases 133-206)
Source: RNAcentral
AAGGGAGACCUAAUUCGGGUAUAAGACGAAAAAAGAGUAGUCGAAACCAAGAAUCAAUCCCAAAAGGUCGGAACGAGGUAUGUGGCUUUCAAACUAGGUUCUGGGUUCACACAAGACCUGAAUCAGGAACAAGGGCUAUUAGCUCAGGUGGUUAGAGCGCACCCCUGAUAAGGGUGAGGUCCCUGGUUCGAGUCCAGGAUGGCCCACCUGCACAGGUGGCAAAAACUAAGAAGCGAGGAAUCAGCACCUUAUCUUAUCUAUAUAUAAGAGAGAAUGCUGGCUCUGAGUAAAGAGUCCAGAGGAACCUUGAAAACUGCAUAGGGCUAGGUGAAAAAGCCAAAAAAGAAGACCGCAA